UAUUGUUUAGUGACUAUAGUAUUAUCUUAUUCUCGUAAAGGAUUGGGACGAGAUGUGUACGCUCGAAGACGUCAGAAAGUCGGAAUGGUAUUGCAAAGCGAAUAAGGGAUGAAUUGAGUAAGCGAAGCGAUGUGGCGAAUAGAGUAUAGCUAGAGAUGGUCUAGAGAUUAUGAGAUGCAUAGAUUGUGAAAGUGGAAAGAUGAGAAUGAGCUGUGAGACGGGAGUCAGAUUUAAGGCAAGUAUCCUACACCCUUCUUUUGGAUAUAUUGCAAAUAUUCUGAUUCAUUCUUUUGAUGUGUUGCAAGUAUCCUAAACCUUUCUCUUGGAUAUAUUGCAAAUAUUCUGAUCCAUUCCUUUGGUAUAUGUUUCAAGUAUUCAUACCUUUCUUUUCAAUGUUCGAAAGUGCGAGUAUUCUGACCCAUUCUUUCUAAUCUUCAAGUUUCUAAAGAAUUUCCGUUUUACAAAUUAAUUCGAAGUUCAGAUUGUCAUUGAAGCAUGUGUUGCUCAGUGAUAGUUAGAGCUUUGAAUGAAUUGGGAUCUUCUUGAUUAUUCAACCCGCCAUUGUCAUGCUGGUUUAGCAGGCUAAAUUCAGUUGCUUAGCCGAUAAUGGAGGAUACUGAAUAGUUGAGGAUUUCCUGAACUGUGAUUUAUGAAAUGAUGGAUCAUGAUUUAUGAAUAGAUUAUUAUCAAAGUUUGAAUUGGAAUUAUUCUGUUGUUGAUGAUAUUUAUGAUGAUGUUCUGUUAAUUUACAUUGGCUUCUUGAAUUGAAUUAGAGAAUUGGAUUAUUGUUUUUAUAUAAACCUGUGGACCAGAUUCGUGGUCAUGUUAGGCCAAUGAGUGCCUUGGAUCCAGUGAUAGAGCAUGGCGGGGCCUGCUCGGGGUUAGUGCGGAACUGAUCAGCUGCCUAACCUUGGUUUUAAUUAAAAUGUGAUAGUCCAAUUCAAUAAUUCUUUGGAAAGAUUGAAUUUCUCAGUUUAAAUGCUGCAAGGUAUUGUAAAUCAUUCUAUACAAUACCAUGAACUCAUGAACUCAGGUUGAAUCCUCUUAUAUCUUGAACUCGUGAACUUCUGUUAUAUCAUUUCAGAACUAUCAUUGUUUAUUAUUACUUGCUGAGCAUUGUUGCUCACCCUUGCUAUUCCUUUCUAACCAUUUCAGAAAGGCUUAAAGAUGAGAUGAUUGAUUGAGAUUGUGAAUAAGGCUAAUGCUAGGCGAGGAGACAGAGUUGAGAAUCCAGUGGUCGAGGAGUGUUCAGGAAAGUUGAUGAGGUUGGUGCAAGCUAGAGCUGUGCU
RNAcentral lists this long non-coding RNA (1289 nucleotides) under Daucus carota (carrot). RNAcentral describes it as "long non-coding RNA (DCAR_LNC003509)". The record is from RNAcentral. Lineage: Eukaryota; Viridiplantae; Streptophyta; Magnoliopsida; Apiales; Apiaceae.